UGUAAGCAUAUACCAAAGUUGUUGCAGUUAAAACGCUCGUAGUCGGAAUUUGGCAGUUCCGGAUGUGUGCACGUCGUGUGCGCACUUCGCGGGGAUUGCUUUUGUGGUCUUGCGUAGGAUGAGGCACUUUUAUUAGUGAACGUCCUCACGCAACCACUUUUUACUGUGAGAAAAUCAGAGUGCUCAAAGCAGGCAUUUGCCGUGAAUGUAUUAGCAUGGAAUAAUAGAAUAGGACUUGGUUCUAUUUUGUUGGUUUGUUGGGACUGAGUAAUGAUUAAGAGGGACAGUUGGGGGCAUUUGUAUUUCGGUGCUAGAGGUGAAAUUCUUAGAUUACCGAAAGACAAACUGCUGCGAAAGCGUCUGCCAAGGAUGUUUUCAUUGA
RNAcentral lists this ribosomal RNA (382 nucleotides) under uncultured eukaryote. RNAcentral's name for it is "partial 18S ribosomal RNA". It matches the Rfam family "Eukaryotic small subunit ribosomal RNA", at positions 592 to 976 of the family's 1831-position model. The record is from RNAcentral.